ACUUUAACAUGUUAUGAAAAAUCAGAAUUUCAUUCUCAUUUCUUUAUUUCUUUCUCCAGCAACACCGAAGGGUUCUUCAAACAGAACUGGUAACAGCCUGGAGUACAGAGCAUCUUGGAAGUCCCCUUUAUCAACCAGUGUGGGGGAAAAAAGUCACUCAGCAAACAUGGUAUGAACAAAGAAUGUGAAUUCUGCACUUCUGCUACAGUUCACUUCCCUCUCUCCGCUUGCACUUCACUGGAAUGGCAUGGCCCUGAAGACAACAGGUGUAUGUAAAAUCCCUGAAGUUACUAAUUAAUUAAUUGCAAUUAAUUGCAAUUUGACUUUGUUUUUAGUACCAGGCU
This 344-nucleotide long non-coding RNA is filed under the name Numida meleagris (helmeted guineafowl). Its description in RNAcentral is "lncRNA (ENSNMEG00000010714.1)". Lineage: Eukaryota; Metazoa; Chordata; Aves; Galliformes; Numididae. The record is from RNAcentral.